UUACCGAGUGCGGGUUCGAACGAGCCCAACCUCCCACCCGUGUUUACUGUUACCGCGUUGCCUCGGCGGGCCCACUGGGGCCUGGCCCCGGUCGCCGGGGGGCUUCUGCCCCCGGGCCCGCUCCCGCCGAAGCACCCUAGAACCCUGCCUGAACAGUGAGUCUGAGUGAGAUUUUAAAUCAUUAAAACUUUCAACAACGGAUCUCUUGGUUCCGGCAUCGAUGAAGAACGCAGCGAAAUGCGAUAAGUAAUGUGAAUUGCAGAAUUCCGUGAAUCAUCGAAUCUUUGAACGCACAUUGCGCCCCCUGGCAUUCCGGGGGGCAUGCCUGUCCGAGCGUCAUUUCUGCCCUCCAGCACGGCUGGGUGUUGGGCGCUGUCCCCCCGGGGACACGCCCCAAAAGCAGUGGCGGCGCCGCGUCGGGUCCUCGAGCGUAUGGGGCUCUGUCACCCGCUCGGGAGGGACUCGGUCGGCGCUGGUCUUCCCUUUAGGCCGCCCUUCGGGGUGCGCCUCUUCCGGUUGACCUCGGAUCAGGUAGGGCUACCCGCUGAACUUAAGCAUAUCAAUAAGCGGAGGAAAAGAAACCAACAGGGAUUGCCUCAGUAACGGCGAGUGAAGCGGCAAGAGCUCAAAUUUGAAAUCUGGCUCCUUCGGGGCCCGAGUUGUAAUUUGGAGAGGAUGCUUCGGGCGUGGCCCCUAUCUAAGUGCCCUGGAACGGGCCGUCAUAGA
Molecule: ribosomal RNA, 726 nt
Filed under: fungal sp.
Lineage: Eukaryota; Fungi
Description: eukaryotic LSU rRNA
Rfam family: Eukaryotic large subunit ribosomal RNA (bases 518-726)
Source: RNAcentral